UACGUAGGGGGCAAGCGUUGUCCGGAAUCAUUGGGCGUAAAGCGCGCGUAGGCGGCCCGGUAAGUCCGCUGUAAAAGUCCAGGGCUCAACCCUGGAAAGCCGGUGGAUACUGUCGGGCUCGAGUCCGGAAGAGGCGAGUGGAAUUCCUGGUGUAGCGGUGGAAUGCGCAGAUAUCAGGAGGAACACCAAUAGCGAAGGCAGCUCGCUGGGACGGUACUGACGCUAAGGCGCGAAAGCGUGGGGAGCGAACAGG
Molecule: ribosomal RNA, 253 nt
Filed under: uncultured Solirubrobacterales bacterium
Lineage: Bacteria; Bacillati; Actinomycetota; Thermoleophilia; Solirubrobacterales
Description: partial 16S ribosomal RNA
Rfam family: Bacterial small subunit ribosomal RNA
Source: RNAcentral